CUCCAUACAAUUCCUUACCUGACCUAUAACGUUCAUCUCGAGAGCCUGAGGAUCUUCGGCGGUGGUAUCGAGAGGCUGAGGAAGGGGUGACAGGUGCCCGUCGUUCUUGAGGCAAAGCUUGGUCCACUCCUGGAUACAAGCUUUUCAUAACAGAGAUUGCCAGCUCCUGGCAGCACCCCAUUUCCUCCAAAGAAGACAGAGAAGGCUGAAGAAACUCCACCUGCAACUUGAUUCAUAAGUGGCAGCACUAGUCACUGAGAAAACCUGCCUUUCACCUCAACUGCUGCAAAGAGCUCCUCAUACCAUGGACAACAGGACACUGGAAUCGAUAGCCUCCGUAUUGUGCAGACAAUAGGAGGCUGGUCUUCAUUAAAAACUCCUACUCCACAGGAUCUUCUUUAUGUCAGGCAGGCCCUUGCCUGUGUUGACAGUAGAAGGCAAAUGUCCUAAAGCCUCUGCCCUCAACAACUGUGGAGGACUCUGGAAGUAGCUGUCCAAGUGGCCAGCUAGUCUAAGAAGUGCCAGAGAGUUCCAUACAACCUGGACACAAUGAAACACUCAGCUACCCCAGGAUAUGGCAGCACCCCAGCUUCCUCAGGUCCCCUGAAGAUGGUCGACACCCCCCAGGUCAUCAGGAAGUAGCCUCAAGAACUGGACAGCCUCAUUCCCUAACCUGCCACACCUAACUCCUCAACGUUUAAAUAAUAAACCUGCCACCUGGCAGAAUAUACUCAA
Long non-coding RNA from Mesocricetus auratus (golden hamster), 735 nucleotides. RefSeq lists it as uncharacterized. The transcript has 3 exons. The record is from RefSeq and is a predicted model, not a curated record. Lineage: Eukaryota; Metazoa; Chordata; Mammalia; Rodentia; Cricetidae.